Trichomycterus rosablanca is the source of this 891-nucleotide non-coding RNA. Lineage: Eukaryota; Metazoa; Chordata; Actinopteri; Siluriformes; Trichomycteridae. The record is from the annotation of a RefSeq genome assembly.
CACAUCAACCAUGACCUUCAUCUCCAUCUUCAUCUGCACACUGGCUCUCUGCACUCAAGGAUCCAGAGGUCAGGUGACUGUGACUCAGAGUCCUGCAGUAAAACAUGUUGAUCCAGGAGCUUCAGUCACCAUCAACUGUAAAACCAGUUCUAAUGUUUACUCUGAUAGCCACGGUCAGCGUUUAGCCUGGUAUCAGCAGAAACCUGGAGAAGCUCCUAAACUCCUGAUUAAAUUUGUAAAGCAGUUACUACCAGGUAUUCCAGAUCGUUUCAGUGGCAGUGGAUCUGGAUCUGACUUCACUCUGACCAUCAGUAGAAUUGAGACUGGAGAUGCAGGAGAUUAUUACUGUCAGAGUUACCAUUAUAUCAACAGCAGUUGGAUCUACACUUUUGGUGGAGGAACCAAACUCAGUGUCACCGGUCCCACGGUGAAGCCGUCCGUGUCUCUGCUCCCUCCCUCCUCUCUGCAGCUGUCUGAGGGAUCGGCCUCGCUGCUCUGCCUGCUGUCUGGUUACUCUCCACAGGGGGCGCUGGUGAGCUGGACGGUGGACGGUACAGUGCUGCAGGACGGGGUGGUGACCGGAGCAGAAGAACUGAAAGGGGGCAGUUGGAGGCGUGGCAGCACCCUGACCCUCACCAAAGCACAGUGGGAAAAGGGGGAGGAGUUUGGCUGUAAGGUCUCUCACGGUGGCGUCGAUCAUCCCGUCGUAUUCAGAAAGAACCAGUGUGAAGGCUAGCAGCUCCCAGAUAGAACUGAACAUGGAGACACUUCCACAUGCUUCUACAAUGGAGUUUCAGUUCUACACAAUGCUGCAUUUCUGUCUUUCCUCUGUUCAGUGUCCUGUUGCUCUUCCUGUAGUUUUGCUGUGCUGAAAUAAAGCUUGAUUUUGGA